UACGUAGGGUGCAGGCGUUAAUCGGAAUUACUGGGCGUAAAGCGUGCGCAGGCGGCCCGGUAAGUCCGCUGUAAAAGUCCAGGGCUCAACCCUGGAAAGCCGGUGGAUACUGUCGGGCUAGAGUCCGGAAGAGGCGAGUGGAAUUCCUGGUGUAGCGGUGGAAUGCGCAGAUAUCAGGAGGAACACCAAUAGCGAAGGCAGCUCGCUGGGACGUUACUGACACUGAGGCGCGAAAGCGUGGGGAGCGAACAGG
RNAcentral lists this ribosomal RNA (253 nucleotides) under uncultured bacterium. RNAcentral describes it as "partial 16S ribosomal RNA". It matches the Rfam family "Bacterial small subunit ribosomal RNA", at positions 524 to 776 of the family's 1533-position model. The record is from RNAcentral.